UCAAUUAUGUCUGGAUGAUGGAUGAGGAUUGAAGAAGCACGGACUCUUGAUUGACCAGGACCAGGCAGCCAAUGAAAGCUCUGACUUCUCGCCAUAUGCCACACAGCUUCAGUGAGGACCAUCGCUGCGGGAUCACCGAAGGGCUUGGAUUACAAGAGGCCAAGUUGGGAAGACGGAAGUGGAAAAUAGGAGGAGACUGGUUUAACUUCCUCUCGGAAGAGACGUGUAGCUUUUUGUUGUGUUAAGUGGAAAGACCCCCAUUCCCUCGGCUUUUGUUUACUUUAUUGAUCCUUGAAAACUAAAAUGUAAUAAGGAAACAGGAAAUAUUUGAAUCAGACACAAUAAAUGUAUGCCGAAGAAUACAGCCAAACUAUUUGUAUAACUUUUCCAUAAGUAACAAACCUACUCAAAAUAAUGUUUUUUAUUUGUUAGUUUGUGUUAAUUGUUCUAGUAUGCAAGACGCUCUCUUAGCAGAGAGUGGCUUGCAUAGAUCAAACAGAAGAUUAGUACAAGGUAAAUCCUUAGGUCAAAUAACUAGUACCAUUCUUUACUUUAAAACAAGCUGUGUUGUUGCUGCUUUUGUACAAAUGGGGGACCAUCAAUGUCACAUUGGAAUAUGGUGAAAUUAUAGCAAUGUGCCAAUUUGAACAGACAGCUUGUCUAGACAGCUUAUUCCAUAAGCAACGUGUUUCAGAAGCAUAAUAUAAUUCUACUGCCAGUCCGAGGAGUCCUAAAAACGGUCUCUUAAAGCAAAAGUAUUGAGCCUGCUGUUGCAUGCAACGAAAAAUAACUAAAACCACAUCAAACAUGUGUCAUCUUUUUCUGCUUUUCUUUCAUGGCAGGUCAGGUUUUUGUUUGCGAAAAUGCUUUAAAUCAUCUGAAAAGGGUUUUUCUGGGUCUGUGAUUUCCAUGAGCCACACCUAUAUGGGCCUGUACUAAAAACUGUGAUAGAAAAACAAAAACGGGAAUGCCUGAGAAAGCAAAACAAACCAGGAUAAUACUAACCCUGAGAAAGACCUCGAACCAAUCAUAAAAACACAGAUGGAAAGCCCCUUUAAACCAACAGUGAGACAGUUAACACCUUUCACCUUUGUUUGUUCAAUGUCAACCUCAAAGUUUGAAUACCCUUACUGUGUUUCUUUCUCCUGAAGGCCGUCCCUUGUCUCUGUUCUACAAUUAUACCCUAUUUAAACAAUAAUGGAGACCCAUUAUCAUUAAAUAUGGGCGGCAUGACAGCUGGUAUGUUGUGAUG
Long non-coding RNA from Gadus macrocephalus (Pacific cod), 1252 nucleotides. RefSeq lists it as uncharacterized. The record is from RefSeq and is a predicted model, not a curated record. Lineage: Eukaryota; Metazoa; Chordata; Actinopteri; Gadiformes; Gadidae. The transcript has 2 exons.